This 97-nucleotide small RNA is filed under the name Flavobacterium caeni. Its description in RNAcentral is "Flavo-1 RNA". It matches the Rfam family "Flavo-1 RNA". Lineage: Bacteria; Pseudomonadati; Bacteroidota; Flavobacteriia; Flavobacteriales; Flavobacteriaceae. The record is from Rfam by way of RNAcentral.
CCCUAGCCCCGAUUGUAGUGGAAAUCCUUUUGCGGCCGCAGUCCCGACGCUUCGGGACGGAGACCGUAAAAGAUUGCAACGGAAAGCGGGAUUAAGC